UGUUCACCAAAAAGAAAUAGAUCUGGUGUGAGUAACGUAUGGUGGGUUUAAUUGCUGCCUCAAGCUGACUCUGUCUCAUGUUUUUUCAGCAUACAUGCAGAAUGUUGAUGUUUAUUUCAUAUUUUGUGUGCUCAGCAAGACUGGCAGCUGGUUAUUCACUUACUCAAACACUCACAGGUGUACUGAGACCAGCGCAACCUACACAUGACCCACUUCUGUGCUGCAUCGUUCUUCACUCUGCAAGGACGCCCAAAGACUGCUUUUGACAGAGGCACGCGAUGGGGAUCUUACAGUUAGACCCACAUGCAAGCCUGGCUUUUCAGAAGAAGACUACACAGCAUUCGUCUCCCAAAGUAUCAUGGAAGGGCAGAAGCUACUGAAAGAUAAGCGAAUGAAAGGAUUACUUCAUAGAGACGUAAUUCAAAUGUCGAUGUUGUGGCUCAUUACAGAAAGCAGCACAGCCUCCUUAAAAGAACGAAGCAUCAGAAUGAUACCCCAUCUGAUCACCUACCUAGUCAUACUCUUAGCAAACUCAGAAACCCCAUUAGCCUGGAGGAUUUGCUACUAUGUGAAUUCCUCAGGUGUGUUUGUCUGUAGCUGAUUUGUUCUGAAUUACAGUUCCCAAGUUGGGUGUGCUGUUUCUUUGAGGAUUACUUUGAAGUAGCUUUUAAUUUAUGUCCUUGAGUCCACUUCUACUGCUCUACUGCUGUGUCCAUGGUCACUUCUAGUUUUUAGGUAAGUAGAUGAAGGAAGAAGAGGAGGAAGUGGGUCUACUAUCCUUAAAUAUAUUAUAUAUAUUUAUUAAUCUGUGAAGAAUAAAGAGAACAUCUAAAAGUUGGCCA
This 842-nucleotide long non-coding RNA is filed under the name Anser brachyrhynchus (Pink-footed goose). RNAcentral describes it as "lncRNA (ENSABRG00000000326.1)". Lineage: Eukaryota; Metazoa; Chordata; Aves; Anseriformes; Anatidae. The record is from RNAcentral.